GAUGAACGCUGGCGGCGUGCCUAAUACAUGCAAGUCGAGCGAACAGACGAGGAGCUUGCUCCUCUGACGUUAGCGGCGGACGGGUGAGUAACACGUGGAUAACCUCCCUAUAAGACUGGGAUAACUUCGGGAAACCGGAGCUAAUACCGGAUAACAUGUUGAACCGCAUGGUUCAACAGUGAAAGACGGUCUUGCUGUCACUUAUAGAUGGAUCCGCGCCGCAUUAGCUAGUUGGUAAGGUAACGGCUUACCAAGGCAACGAUGCGUAGCCGACCUGAGAGGGUGAUCGGCCACACUGGAACUGAGACACGGUCCAGACUCCUACGGGAGGCAGCAGUAGGGAAUCUUCCGCAAUGGGCGAAAGCCUGACGGAGCAACGCCGCGUGAGUGAAGAAGGUCUUCGGAUCGUAAAACUCUGUUAUUAGGGAAGAACAAAUGUGUAAGUAACUAUGCACGUCUUGACGGUACCUAAUCAGAAAGCCACGGCUAACUACGUG
Molecule: ribosomal RNA, 497 nt
Filed under: uncultured bacterium
Lineage: Bacteria
Description: partial 16S ribosomal RNA
Rfam family: Bacterial small subunit ribosomal RNA
Source: RNAcentral